CCUACGGGUGGCAGCAGUGGGGAAUAUUGCACAAUGGGGGAAACCCUGAUGCAGCGACGCCGCGUGAGUGAAGAAGUAUUUCGGUACGUAAAGCCCUAUUAGCAGGGAAGAAAAUGACGGUACCUGACUAAGAAGCCCCGGCUAACUACGUGCCAGCAGCCGCGGCAAUACGGAGGGGGCAAGCGUUAUUCGGAUUUACUGGGUGUAAAGGGAGCGUAGACGGGAGCGCAAGUCUGGAGUGAAAUCCGAUGGCUUAAACAUGGAACUGCUUUGGAAACUGUGCAGCUAGAGUGCAGGAGAGGUAAGCGGAAUGCGUGGUGUAGCGGUGAAAUGCGUAGAUAUUAGGAAGAACACCAGUGGCGAAGGCAGCAUACUGGACUGUAACUGACGUUGAGGCUCGAAAGCGUGGGGAGCAAACAGGAUUAGAUACCCCAGUAGUC
This 440-nucleotide ribosomal RNA is filed under the name uncultured bacterium. Its description in RNAcentral is "partial 16S ribosomal RNA". It matches the Rfam family "Bacterial small subunit ribosomal RNA", at positions 338 to 795 of the family's 1533-position model. The record is from RNAcentral.